CCUGCUGCAUGAAAGAGUAAAAAUCAUCAGGUGGAGGUGAAGGUGGAGGAAGGCUCAGAGUCUGUCACCCUGCCCUGCAAAACAACACCUGACCUGCCUGAGAACACCAGAGUGGAGUGGACUCGCUCUGACCAUGAACUCUUGAUAGUUCAGGAGUAUUCAAACAAAGGUGGCAAACUUAUGAAACAGGACAAGUUUUACAGAGACCGAACAGAAAUGAAUGAAGACCUGCUGAAAACUUCAGUCUGACCCUGAAACAGCCCACAGAGAGAGACACAGGAGGAUACAUCUGCACCAUCUACAGGGACAAAGACAUCCUGAGACAGAAAGUAGUGCUGCACUAUGUCAGAGAAAAACUUCCACUUUGGGCCACAGCUGUCGUAGUUCUUCUUGUUCUUGUGUUUUUUGGGGGUCUCACAUAUAGUUUUCAACACUAUUUCAUGUCAGGUUCAGGCCUCUUGGGAUGAAGCUGCUGAGGCUUUGAGGACAUGUUCUCCAAAUCUUCAGCUAUGUUGUUGACAUGCCACCAUCCGCCCAGGGCUCUCCUUCUCCAUUUGGCUGAAUCUGCUUCCGUGAGCCACUCCUUAAGUCGGCUUUGCGACACGGGCACUUUUGGUGUGACUGAUAGUUUUCCAAUAGGAUCGUGCUGAUAUCAGUCUGACUCUGAAAAACCCCACACAGGGAAACAUUGGGAGAUACACAUGUUACGUCUGGAGAAAGGGAGACAUAAUCAGAUCAAAAACAGUGAUGUUCAAAGUAACAGUUUCUCGGGUGCCAUUGUCUAGAUAUUGAACUUUGGUUUUAUUAUAUUAAUUUCCUCUUUAUGAUAGAAUGAACUUUAAUGUCCUCUUGUUUAACCUUCACCCAGGAGUACCCGAAGCUAGCGUGCAGCUAGCAGGCUGCACUCUGCUGGGACAGGACAAAGGACAAAGGCAUUAUGUUGUUGUUUUCUGAAUCUUUGGUUUUUAUUUAGCCUUCUCUAUUUUUUUCAAUGAGUCUUAGCUGCACACUGCCUUUGAAACACAUGUUCAACAAGAAGCCACAGAAACCUUUAUCACAUUAAAGUCUCAUUGUUUCUGUACA
This is a long non-coding RNA of Oreochromis aureus, 1083 nucleotides long. RefSeq lists it as uncharacterized. The record is from RefSeq and is a predicted model, not a curated record. Lineage: Eukaryota; Metazoa; Chordata; Actinopteri; Cichliformes; Cichlidae. The transcript has 4 exons.